UCCCUGAUAGCUCAGCGGUAGAGUAGGUGACUGUUAAUCACUUGGUCGUUGGUUCGAAUCCAACUCAGGGAGCCA
This 75-nucleotide transfer RNA is filed under the name Sphingomonas sp. Its description in RNAcentral is "tRNA-Asn". It matches the Rfam family "tRNA". Rfam says of the family: Transfer RNA (tRNA) molecules are approximately 80 nucleotides in length. Their secondary structure includes four short double-helical elements and three loops (D, anti-codon, and T loops). Further hydrogen bonds mediate the characteristic L-shaped molecular structure. tRNAs have two regions of fundamental functional importance: the anti-codon, which is responsible for specific mRNA codon recognition, and the 3' end, to which the tRNAs corresponding amino acid is attached (by aminoacyl-tRNA synthetases). tRNAs cope with the degeneracy of the genetic code in two manners: having more than one tRNA (with a specific anti-codon) for a particular amino acid; and 'wobble' base-pairing, i.e. permitting non-standard base-pairing at the 3rd anti-codon position. The record is from RNAcentral. Lineage: Bacteria; Pseudomonadati; Pseudomonadota; Alphaproteobacteria; Sphingomonadales; Sphingomonadaceae. RNAcentral also lists the same sequence under 14 other names.